AGCAGCCGCGGUAAUUCCAGCUCCAAUAGCGUAUAUUAAAGUUGUUGCAGUUAAAAAGCUCGUAAUUGAAUUUCGGGAUUGGCGCAUCGGUCGUGCCUCACGGGGUAUGAACUGGUGCAGUCAAUUUCUCACCUUCUGGAGAACCGCGAUGUCCUUAAUUGGAUGCCGCGGGGAACCAGGACCUUUACUUUGAAAAAAUUAGAGUGUUUAAAGCAGGCAUUUUUGCUUGAAUACAUUAGCAUGGAAUAAUAAAAUAGGACGGCAUGGUUCUAUUUUGUUGGUUUCUAGGACCACCGUAAUGAUUAAUAGGGAUAGUUGGGGGCAUUAGUAUUCAAUUGUCAGAGGUGAAAUUCUUGGAUUUAUUGAAGACUAACUACUGCGAAAGCAUUUGCCAAGGAUGUUUUCAUUAAUCAAGAACGAAAGUUAGGGGAUCGAAGACGAUCAGAUACCGUCGUAGUCUUAACCAUAAACUAUGCCGACUAGGAAUCAGACGAUGUUAAUUUUUUAAUGACUCG
This 515-nucleotide ribosomal RNA is filed under the name uncultured Entrophosporaceae. Its description in RNAcentral is "SSU rRNA". It matches the Rfam family "Eukaryotic small subunit ribosomal RNA", at positions 569 to 1078 of the family's 1831-position model. Lineage: Eukaryota; Fungi; Glomeromycota; Glomeromycetes; Entrophosporales; Entrophosporaceae. The record is from RNAcentral.